UCCCUACGGGGGGCUGCAGUCGAGAAUUUUUGGCAAUGGGCGAAAGCCUGACCAAGCGAUGCCGCGUGCGGGAUGAAGGCCUUCGGGUUGUAAACCGCUGUCAGUGGGGAGGAAAGCUUUGUGAAGAGCAAGGCUUGACCUAUCCGCAGAGGAAGUGUGGGCUAAGUUCGUGCCAGCAGCCGCGGUAAGACGAACCACACAAACGUUAUUCGGAAUUACUGGGCUUAAAGGGUGCGUAGGCUGCGCAGUAAGUUGGGUGUGAAAUACCUCGGCUCAACCGAGGAACUGCGCCCAAAACUACUGUGCUUGAGGAAGAUAGAGGUAAGCGGAACUUACGGUGGAGCGGUGAAAUGCGUUGAUAUCGUAAGGAACACCUGUGGCGAAAGCGGCUUACUGGGUCUUUUCUGACGCUGAUGCACGAAAGCUAGGGGAGCAAACGGGAUUAGAUACCCGAGUAGUCUA
Molecule: ribosomal RNA, 462 nt
Filed under: uncultured Planctomycetaceae bacterium
Lineage: Bacteria; Pseudomonadati; Planctomycetota; Planctomycetia; Planctomycetales; Planctomycetaceae
Description: bacterial SSU rRNA
Rfam family: Bacterial small subunit ribosomal RNA
Source: RNAcentral